This 562-nucleotide ribosomal RNA is filed under the name fungal sp. SNB-GTC2402. RNAcentral's name for it is "LSU rRNA". The stretch from base 226 to 379 matches the Rfam family "5.8S ribosomal RNA". Lineage: Eukaryota; Fungi. The record is from RNAcentral.
UUCCGUAGGUGAACCUGCGGAGGGAUCAUUACACAAUAACAAGGCGGGUUGGACACCCCCCGCUGGGCACUGCUUCACGGCGUGCGCGGCGGGGCCGGCCCUGCUGAAUUAUUCACCCGUGUCUUUUGCGUACUUCUUGUUUCCUGGGUGGGCUCGCCCGCCCUCAGGACCAACCACAAACCUUUUGCAAUAGCAAUCAGCGUCAGUAACAACGUAAUUAAUUACAACUUUCAACAACGGAUCUCUUGGUUCUGGCAUCGAUGAAGAACGCAGCGAAAUGCGAUACGUAGUGUGAAUUGCAGAAUUCAGUGAAUCAUCGAAUCUUUGAACGCACAUUGCGCCCUUUGGUAUUCCAAAGGGCAUGCCUGUUCGAGCGUCAUUUGUACCCUCAAGCUUUGCUUGGUGUUGGGCGUCUUUUGUCUCCAGUUCGCUGGAGACUCGCCUUAAAGUCAUUGGCAGCCGGCCUACUGGUUUCGGAGCGCAGCACAAGUCGCGCUCUUCGCCAGCCAAGGUCAGCGUCCAGCAAGCCUUUUUUUCAACCUUUGACCUCGGAUCAGGUAGG